Non-coding RNA from Caenorhabditis elegans, 138 nucleotides. Lineage: Eukaryota; Metazoa; Nematoda; Chromadorea; Rhabditida; Rhabditidae. The record is from Ensembl.
UGAAUGUAAAUAUGAGAAAAUUGAGAAAUGAGAAUAAGAUAGUGGCGUGGCGCCCGUAUCAGUUGAACAAAUCCCAUGUUGCUCUGGUCCCUUAGAGUGUGUAACAUCAGUGCCACAUGAUCCAUCACUUUACCCCGC